Schistosoma mansoni is the source of this 78-nucleotide microRNA precursor. It matches the Rfam family "mir-3492 microRNA precursor family". Lineage: Eukaryota; Metazoa; Platyhelminthes; Trematoda; Strigeidida; Schistosomatidae. The record is from Rfam.
AGCUUUUCGAAUCCUUGCAGAGAUUUAGUCAAACACCAAUCCAUUAGGGCUGAUCAGACUUCCAAUAUAAGUGAAGUU